Non-coding RNA from Acanthosepion pharaonis, 107 nucleotides. The record is from the annotation of a GenBank genome assembly. Lineage: Eukaryota; Metazoa; Mollusca; Cephalopoda; Sepiida; Sepiidae.
UACGGCAAUAUUACGUGGAAACACCGGUUCCCGUACGACUACCGAAGUUAAGCAACGUCAAGCCUACUCAGUACCUAGAGGGGUGACAGCUUCGGAAUACUUGGAUG